GAUGAACGCUGGCGGCGUGCCUAAUACAUGCAAGUCGAGCGAACAGACGAGGAGCUUGCUCCUCUGACGUUAGCGGCGGACGGGUGAGUAACACGUGGAUAACCUACCUAUAAGACUGGGAUAACUUCGGGAAACCGGAGCUAAUACCGGAUAAUAUAUUGAACCGCAUGGUUCAAUAGUGAAAGACGGUUUUGCUGUCACUUAUAGAUGGAUCCGCGCCGCAUUAGCUAGUUGGUAAGGUAACGGCUUACCAAGGCGACGAUGCGUAGCCGACCUGAGAGGGGGAGAGGAAAAAGUGGGAAUGAGACAAGGGUGAGAGAACGCAGGGAGGCAGCAGUAGGGGAGCUUCAGAAAUGGGCGAAAGCCAGACGGAGAAAAGCAGCGUGAGUGAUGAAGGUCUUAGUAUCUUAAAACUCUGUGAUUAGGGAAGAACAAAUGUGUAAGUAACUAUGCACGUCUGGAAGGUACCUAAGCAGAAAGACAAGGCGAAAGAAGGG
Molecule: ribosomal RNA, 497 nt
Filed under: uncultured bacterium
Lineage: Bacteria
Description: partial 16S ribosomal RNA
Rfam family: Bacterial small subunit ribosomal RNA
Source: RNAcentral